Molecule: long non-coding RNA, 3590 nt
Organism: Dromaius novaehollandiae (emu)
Lineage: Eukaryota; Metazoa; Chordata; Aves; Casuariiformes; Dromaiidae
Exons: 3
Source: RefSeq, a predicted model, not a curated record
GGGACGAGCGGCGCAUGCGCAGCUCUCUGCACCUCACACACGCGUACACUCCCCCCUCCCCGCCGCUUACCCAGCCGCCUGGCCGGAAGUGAGGUUGUCAGGCCCGCGCGAGCACGUGGAGGGGAGGGAGGGGGGAGCGAGGCGCCUCGCGCUGCUUCGCUCCCCCCACCCCGCUCGCCUCGUGGCGACCGUUAGGACUCCGGCGACCGUUAGAGUUCCAACGGCCGCGCGCGCGCCGCCCUCGCCGCGCUGAGGCGACCCUGCCGCUUCGGGGCGUUGAGCGAGGGCGCCCGCUCGCACCCUCCGCUCAAGGAGGCGAUUCGGCCCCCGCGGGAAGCCUGGCGUUUUCGCAGAGCUGUUGCAACAACAAGAAGAAAAACAAAAAAAACAGGCGGGAGGCAAACAGAGCCUCUCGCGGUUGGCCCCGGCCACCGUCAGUGCUUCGCUGACACCACUCAGUGCGUUUAAAGGCAGCAGGUGCUCUCGGGAAGGGUGGCUGUGCAGAGGUUUAGCUUCGGACGGUGAUGGGAAGGCGUUUUAGACCACUGUGGUGGUAAAAACGGCCCUGAACACCCUGAUCAGGCCACCCGACAGGCCUGCGGACCCUCUGAGGUCCACAGACUGCUUCCAGAGGGGAAAGUAAUAACUGCAAUAACUCCGCUGACAUCAAGGUGCAUGUAAAUUGACAAUAGGGAGGCUUCACAGACACACUAAUUUAGGAGUUAACUGACUGAAAAACAGCGGUAGAAAACCAUGAAUCUCGACAGAAGAAUGUCAGCUAUGCAUUCCCUGCUGUGAAAUGUACCCUCCAUGGACAUCUUGCCUACAGACAAGGCAGGUCUGGGAACUCUCCAGCAUGAGACUAGUUUCACCUGUGAAAUUUCCAAGAAAAUAAAAGUUGGAUUUGAAGAAUGUUUUCUGAGCCACGAGAAGCCCAGUCUUUGCAGUCCCCCGCUCAAGACUGUGGGCUCUGUUGGAAAGCUACAAAGCCACGGCAGCCAGGGUGCUGGUGACUGAAAGGAGUGCAGCAUCCAGUUAGUAUACUCUGCUUCAAAGGAAGGUGUGGCCCAACAGGACAAAGUCCAAAGGAUGCCAAUGAGAAUGAUGAGAAGUCUGGAAAACACAUCCCUUAAAUUUCUUUGCAGAAACUGUGAAAGAUUUGUCAAUCCUGGCAUAAUUCAUCCAAAAAAAAUCCUUAAAGACCAUCACAAAGAUGAACUAGCAAUAAAACUUGUAUCGAAAACAGGAAAAUGCCACUAAGAAAGGGAGAAUUGACACAGCUGAAGGGAAAAGAAGAUAAGAGCACCUAGGAGAAACUACUUGUGGCAGACACAAAGGGCCAAUUGUUCUGGAUUGUUAAUUCACAUGAGACAGAACCAUGGAUAGACGCAGCAGGGAAGUUUUUCAGACACAGCAAUUGCUUCUGGGAUUUCCUUAGGAUUUCAAGAAAGCGCAGUCUUCUGUAUAGCUGGAAUGUGUGAAGAAGUUUGGGUAGAUGGACACUAGAGGAGGUACCGAAUCUCUCAGCCCUGGGGACACGUUGAGGGAACCAGCAGUCCCUCUGUGCUUCCUGCUGUAGACUGCCUGGUUCUGUUCCUGUCCCAGCCCCUGCCUUGUGCACGAUGUAUCUGCCCUGAAGGCUGAUCCAGCUGAGAAGUAAACCAGCAUGUGUGGACAUGAGAAAGACAGGAAGAAACAAGUGUUGGCAAGGUGACAGAAUUGUCUUUCAGCAGCGAAGCAGCAUCUGUAAAAAUGGCAACUCUCUCCGUUGCCCACAUGCUGACCCUUUUCAUCGGUGACAUGGAAGUGCUAGGAACGGGGACUCUGCAGCUGUGGUGUGCACAGUGCUUUGCAUAACACAUUCACACUCCCAGACAGAUGCUGAGUCCUGCUGCACUACAGAGACUAAAAUAAAGACCUGAAACAUGUCAGUCAAGUACCUCUUGGUUACAGCGACCAUGUUUUCAAAGCUUAGAGGAGCUGCUCCAGAUUUGGCUGACAAGUUACAUCAUCCCCUGACGAAUCAUGCUUUUCAGCUUUUCAGUGUGCUGGGAAGGCAGAGGAUGUGUAUAUGGGUUGAAUGCAGUGUUGAUGCUCACAAAGAAAAUGGAUUUUUACCUAACAAGUCUCAGAUGAACCUGUGCCAAGAAGUAGCAGGAGGGGUGGGUACCACAGUUAAUUUUCAUUUGCUCACAAUUGAUCUUAGGCCUCCAGGAAAGAAGGUAUUUCCUUCCUCCUUUUCUUACCUAUCUCUCUAUUGGGCAGUGUCCGUGAACAAUCAGGAGAAAAAGUGGCCAAAUACACCCCCCCCCAAAAAAAGAGAAAAAAAUUCAUCUGAAUCAUCUUAUUUCAUUCUCUUCUUCUGCUAAUGUUCAAAGAAAUGAAAUAGUAAACCAGAGUAAAACCCAGGCAGCAUCUGACCUCAGUCUUUCAGCAAUGUUGACUUGGUUUCUUGAUUUAACAGCCCAGUGAAUGUGCAUUCUCGUGGUCCUGUGCUCCUGUCGGUUCCACUCCUCUUGCAUGGGUUUGGUCUCGGGGAACCAAAAGAAGCAAUAAAAGAUAGUCCUGGCAAGCACAUUUCCAGCAGUUUUCCCACUGCCACUGCUGGAGCACUGUAAAUGAGUUGGCAGAGAAUCCGCCUCACUUCGAGUUUUAGCACGCAGCCAUUUGAUUCAAUCAACCCUUUGCUGGUCCUACAGAAGGGCAGCAGAGGCAAGCAGAAAUCAAAUAAAAGGCAAUAAACAAAGGGCAGGAACUUGUCCUUGGUCUGCAGCCAAGAGGUUCUUUGGUCCCACCAAGACUUUUACUUGCAGACAAAUGAAGAGAUCAGCUUCUUUUUCUUGCCCCUUCUGCUCUGCUCUGCUGUGCAUUGCUCUCCUUGCAUUCUGCAGCUCAUGAAACAUUUUUUGCAGAAGUACUUGACGUCAUUCCUGCUUAGGCUACCAAUACUUCCAAGGGACAGCAAAGCUGAGGUAGCAAGCUUUCAAAAAUACCAAGCUGGAAGAGAGAAGUCUCAAGGAGACCAAAUCACAUUUACUGCAAAAGCAAUUAGCUCAACUCGAAGGUAUCACUAUAUGCUGAGGAGAAGGUGCAAGGCCUCCUAGUGCUAAACCUGCAGUGUGCCACAUGCCUUGAGCCAGCCAAAAGAAGUCAUCCUGACAGCCCUUCCCCAGGCAUGUGCUCUUCCUCUUGCCCCAGGUCCAGCGUUUUUGCAGCUAUGUGGUGGCCCAGCUGGGGAAACACAGUCUGCACAGAGCUACGUCAUCAAAAGUGAAAGAACUGGAUGCCUUUUUAGAGUAGUGAGCUCCCUGAUCCUGUUCUCUGCAAGGCUACGCAAGUUCUCUGCCAGGCUAAAAGCAGCAAGUUCUGUCUUACCGCAUUUUCUACACAGCAGCUGAAGGUUUCGUUAUUCACAUACUGUCACUGUUAUGUGUACUGCCACACGAUGGAGACAGAGAGCUCAGUGAGGCUGAGACCCUCCAUUUCCUUAACUGCAUGCUGGCCUUAAAGUGUAGCCAUGGGGUUCCUCAAGGAUGCACACAGCUGAUCAGCUGCACAACUUUCAGAAUUAGUCGGCAGUGAUCAGGGAC